UAGUGUACCAUUUUGUGUUUUAGCUGACC
RNAcentral lists this non-coding RNA (29 nucleotides) under Mus musculus (house mouse). Lineage: Eukaryota; Metazoa; Chordata; Mammalia; Rodentia; Muridae. The record is from RNAcentral.